AGCGUACACGGUGGAUGCCCUGGCAGUCAGAGGCGAUGAAGGACGUGCUAAUCUGCGAUAAGCGUCGGUAAGGUGAUAUGAACCGUUAUAACCGGCGAUUUCCGAAUGGGGAAACCCAGUGUGUUUCGACACACUAUCAUUAACUGAAUCCAUAGGUUAAUGAGGCGAACCGGGGGAACUGAAACAUCUAAGUACCCCGAGGAAAAGAAAUCAACCGAGAUUCCCCCAGUAGCGGCGAGCGAACGGGGAGCAGCCCAGAGCCUGAAUCAGUAUGUGUGUUAGUGGAAGCGUCUGGAAAGGCGCGCGAUACAGGGUGACAGCCCCGUACACAAAAAUGCACAUGCUGUGAGCUCGAUGAGUAGGGCGGGACACGUGGUAUCCUGUCUGAAUAUGGGGGGACCAUCCUCCAAGGCUAAAUACUCCUGACUGACCGAUAGUGAACCAGUACCGUGAGGGAAAGGCGAAAAGAACCCCGGCGAGGGGAGUGAAAAAGAACCUGAAACCGUGUACGUACAAGCAGUGGGAGCACGCUUAGGCGUGUGACUGCGUACCUUUUGUAUAAUGGGUCAGCGACUUAUAUUCUGUAGCAAGGUUAACCGAAUAGGGGAGCCGAAGGGAAACCGAGUCUUAACUGGGCGUUAAGUUGCAGGGUAUAGACCCGAAACCCGGUGAUCUAGCCAUGGGCAGGUUGAAGGUUGGGUAACACUAACUGGAGGACCGAACCGACUAAUGUUGAAAAAUUAGCGGAUGACUUGUGGCUGGGGGUGAAAGGCCAAUCAAACCGGGAGAUAGCUGGUUCUCCCCGAAAGCUAUUUAGGUAGCGCCUCGUGAAUUCAUCUCCGGGGGUAGAGCACUGUUUCGGCAAGGGGGUCAUCCCGACUUACCAACCCGAUGCAAACUGCGAAUACCGGAGAAUGUUAUCACGGGAGACACACGGCGGGUGCUAACGUCCGUCGUGAAGAGGGAAACAACCCAGACCGCCAGCUAAGGUCCCAAAGUCAUGGUUAAGUGGGAAACGAUGUGGGAAGGCCCAGACAGCCAGGAUGUUGGCUUAGAAGCAGCCAUCAUUUAAAGAAAGCGUAAUAGCUCACUGGUCGAGUCGGCCUGCGCGGAAGAUGUAACGGGGCUAAACCAUGCACCGAAGCUGCGGCAGCGACGCUGAUGCGUUGUUGGGUAGGGGAGCGUUCUGUAAGCCUGCGAAGGUGUGCUGUGAGGCAUGCUGGAGGUAUCAGAAGUGCGAAUGCUGACAUAAGUAACGAUAAAGCGGGUGAAAAGCCCGCUCGCCGGAAGACCAAGGGUUCCUGUCCAACGUUAAUCGGGGCAGGGUGAGUCGACCCCUAAGGCGAGGCCGAAAGGCGUAGUCGAUGGGAAACAGGUUAAUAUUCCUGUACUUGGUGUUACUGCGAAGGGGGGACGGAGAAGGCUAUGUUGGCCGGGCGACGGUUGUCCCGGUUUAAGCGUGUAGGCUGGUUUUCCAGGCAAAUCCGGAAAAUCAAGGCUGAGGCGUGAUGACGAGGCACUACGGUGCUGAAGCAACAAAUGCCCUGCUUCCAGGAAAAGCCUCUAAGCAUCAGGUAACAUCAAAUCGUACCCCAAACCGACACAGGUGGUCAGGUAGAGAAUACCAAGGCGCUUGAGAGAACUCGGGUGAAGGAACUAGGCAAAAUGGUGCCGUAACUUCGGGAGAAGGCACGCUGAUAUGUAGGUGAAGUCCCUCGCGGAUGGAGCUGAAAUCAGUCGAAGAUACCAGCUGGCUGCAACUGUUUAUUAAAAACACAGCACUGUGCAAACACGAAAGUGGACGUAUACGGUGUGACGCCUGCCCGGUGCCGGAAGGUUAAUUGAUGGGGUUAGCCGCAAGGCGAAGCUCUUGAUCGAAGCCCCGGUAAACGGCGGCCGUAACUAUAACGGUCCUAAGGUAGCGAAAUUCCUUGUCGGGUAAGUUCCGACCUGCACGAAUGGCGUAAUGAUGGCCAGGCUGUCUCCACCCGAGACUCAGUGAAAUUGAACUCGCUGUGAAGAUGCAGUGUACCCGCGGCAAGACGGAAAGACCCCGUGAACCUUUACUAUAGCUUGACACUGAACAUUGAGCCUUGAUGUGUAGGAUAGGUGGGAGGCUUAGAAGUGUGGACGCCAGUCUGCAUGGAGCCGACCUUGAAAUACCACCCUUUAAUGUUUGAUGUUCUAACGUUGACCCGUAAUCCGGGUUGCGGACAGUGUCUGGUGGGUAGUUUGACUGGGGCGGUCUCCUCCUAAAGAGUAACGGAGGAGCACGAAGGUUGGCUAAUCCUGGUCGGACAUCAGGAGGUUAGUGCAAUGGCAUAAGCCAGCUUGACUGCGAGCGUGACGGCGCGAGCAGGUGCGAAAGCAGGUCAUAGUGAUCCGGUGGUUCUGAAUGGAAGGGCCAUCGCUCAACGGAUAAAAGGUACUCCGGGGAUAACAGGCUGAUACCGCCCAAGAGUUCAUAUCGACGGCGGUGUUUGGCACCUCGAUGUCGGCUCAUCACAUCCUGGGGCUGAAGUAGGUCCCAAGGGUAUGGCUGUUCGCCAUUUAAAGUGGUACGCGAGCUGGGUUUAGAACGUCGUGAGACAGUUCGGUCCCUAUCUGCCGUGGGCGCUGGAGAACUGAGGGGGGCUGCUCCUAGUACGAGAGGACCGGAGUGGACGCAUCACUGGUGUUCGGGUUGUCAUGCCAAUGGCACUGCCCGGUAGCUAAAUGCGGAAGAGAUAAGUGCUGAAAGCAUCUAAGCACGAAACUUGCCCCGAGAUGAGUUCUCCCUGACUCCUUGA
This 2789-nucleotide ribosomal RNA is filed under the name Escherichia coli. Its description in RNAcentral is "bacterial LSU rRNA". It matches the Rfam family "Bacterial large subunit ribosomal RNA". Lineage: Bacteria; Pseudomonadati; Pseudomonadota; Gammaproteobacteria; Enterobacterales; Enterobacteriaceae. The record is from RNAcentral.